Molecule: ribosomal RNA, 254 nt
Filed under: uncultured bacterium
Lineage: Bacteria
Description: partial 16S ribosomal RNA
Rfam family: Bacterial small subunit ribosomal RNA
Source: RNAcentral
AUUGAACGCUGGCGGCAUGCCUUACACAUGCAAGUCGAACGGCAGCACGGGGGCAACCCUGGUGGCGAGUGGCGAACGGGUGAGUAAUGCAUCGGAACGUGCCCAGUAGUGGGGAUAACUAGUCGAAAGAUUAGCUAAUACCGCAUACGACCUAUGGGUGAAAGCGGGGAUGCAGCACUUAAUGUUUUGGGAUGGCUACUUGUCGGCCGCCGUCGGGACAGUCUCAGGUUGAGAACAUUAAGUGCUGCACCUCG